GCAAAGAAACCUCAAGCCUCAGCCUCCGUUGCAGCCAUUAUUUCACGUCACUGAUUAUUUAUAACACUUAAAUAUUCAUAUCGGUUAAAAUUUGAUUGAAUGUGUGGCACUAGUCCCCCUGAAAACAAACAAAAAUCUCAUAAUAACUGAACGUAAAUGAUAACAAGUCUAUAAAUAAUUCUCUACCUUAGAGGUAGAAACGGACAUGUACGACAUGUCGCGGGACGGUGCGUAAUUUCCAACGCGGUACAAGACGGUAAG
Aricia agestis (brown argus) is the source of this 261-nucleotide long non-coding RNA. RefSeq lists it as uncharacterized. The record is from RefSeq and is a predicted model, not a curated record. The transcript is spliced from 3 exons. Lineage: Eukaryota; Metazoa; Arthropoda; Insecta; Lepidoptera; Lycaenidae.